Molecule: ribosomal RNA, 463 nt
Filed under: uncultured bacterium
Lineage: Bacteria
Description: partial 16S ribosomal RNA
Rfam family: Bacterial small subunit ribosomal RNA
Source: RNAcentral
GACGAACGCUGGCGGCGUGCUUAACACAUGCAAGUCGAACGGUGAACCUCUUCGGAGGGGAUCAGUGGCGAACGGGUGAGUAACACGUGGGCAACCUGCCCCCGGCUCUGGGAUAACUCCAAGAAAUUGGGGCUAAUACCGGAUGUUCACCGCUUCCCGCAUGGGUGGUGGUGAAAAGGGUUUCCGGCUGGGGAUAGGCCCGCGGCCUAUCAGCUUGUUGGUGGGGUAGUGGCCUACCAAGGCGACGACGGGUAGCCGGCCUGAGAAGGGGACCGGCCACACGAGGACUGAGGGACGCCGCAGACGCCAAUGGGAGGCAGCAGGGGGGAAUAUGGCGCAAUGGGCGGGAGCCUGACGCAGCGGCGCCGCGUGGGGGAUGACGGCCUUCGGGUGGUAAACAUCUGUCAGAAGGGACGAAGCGGAAGUGACGGUACCUGAAGAAGAAGCACCGGCCAACUACGUG